Molecule: small RNA, 107 nt
Filed under: Flavobacteriaceae bacterium
Lineage: Bacteria; Pseudomonadati; Bacteroidota; Flavobacteriia; Flavobacteriales; Flavobacteriaceae
Description: 6S RNA
Rfam family: 6S-Flavo RNA
Source: RNAcentral
ACUCAACGUUAUACAUUUAUAAAGGAUGAGUCUUUCAUGUGAAAGCGAGCCCGCUUGACGGGAUACUUGAGCAUGAAGUUAGUCCUAAACCUGUUUUAUUGGAGUUU